RNAcentral lists this ribosomal RNA (255 nucleotides) under uncultured bacterium. Its description in RNAcentral is "partial 16S ribosomal RNA". It matches the Rfam family "Bacterial small subunit ribosomal RNA", at positions 524 to 776 of the family's 1533-position model. The record is from RNAcentral.
UACGGGGGGGGGCAAGCGUUGUUCGGAAUUACUGGGCGUAAAGGGCUCGUAGGCGGCCAACUAAGUCAUACGUGAAAUCCCCCCGGCUUAACCGGGGAAUGCGUCUGAUACUGGAUGGCUUGAGUUCGGGAGAGGGAUGCGGAAUUCCAGGUGUAGCGGUGAAAUGCGUAGAUAUCUGGAGGAACACCGGUGGCGAAGGCGGCAUCCUGGACCGAUACUGACGCUGAGGAGCGAAAGCCCAGGGGAGCAAACGGG